GUGUACAUUUCUUCGUUUCUUCUUUGCUGUUUUCAGUGAGUGUUUUGUUUUCUCUUUGUCCUUGAUCUCGACGGCGUUGUCGUGCUCAUUACCUUACUGAGACGUCUCUUGUGACUGUAGCCAGUGUCACGGAGGAUUUUAUUGGCGUGACGAGGUAGAUCGCCGAGAUCGAGCGUGAAAAACGCUCUGCAUUAGUAGCUCCUGUAGAAUGUCUUCUGGGAUGGCGUAUCCAUGGUCAACAAAGCCAAGGUGCAAGACAGCAUAAGAGAUCGUGUAAACGAUGUGAACUCCAAAAGAUAAUCUGGACAAAUAAAUUAUAUUGUAACUGGAGAGUGCAAUCGUGCUUGGGACCCAUCCCAAUAUCAUCACAUGGCUGUGGUGACUAGUGUAUACCUGGGAGAGUUUUUCCUCAACUGAGACGGAGUGUAGGUGGAUGGAUUAUGAGAAAUGCGAAGAUGUGGAGUUCAAGGCUAGAUGCACUUCACAUUCGGCGUGGGAUCUCGGCGUCUGGGACCUGAUAACGUCUUGGUUGGAUGGGUAAUCAAUGAUGAUACUACUCGGCACACCAAUGUACAUGUCAUGUAGUUUUUACUUUUUCAAAGCUGCACUAUUUACGUCUUGAUGCUUACUUCGGUGCUAGUGUCGUGUCCGUGUGUUGCUACAAUGUCAUUAUCUGUAUUGUAUUC
Long non-coding RNA from Sycon ciliatum, 686 nucleotides. RefSeq lists it as uncharacterized. NCBI's taxonomy places the organism in Eukaryota, Metazoa, Porifera, Calcarea, Leucosolenida, Sycettidae. The record is from RefSeq and is a predicted model, not a curated record. The transcript has 3 exons.